CCUACGGGUGGCAGCAGUGGGGAAUAUUGGACAAUGGGCGAAAGCCUGAUCCAGCCAUGCCGCGUGUGUGAAGAAGGCCUUCGGGUUGUAAAGCACUUUCAGUGGGGAAGAAAGCCUUGGGGCUAAUACCCUCGAGGAAGGACAUCACCCACAGAAGAAGCACCGGCUAACUCCGUGCCAGCAGCCGCGGUAAUACGGAGGGUGCGAGCGUUAAUCGGAAUUACUGGGCGUAAAGCGCGCGUAGGCGGUCUGAUAAGCCGGUUGUGAAAGCCCCGGGCUCAACCUGGGAACGGCAUCCGGAACUGUCAGGCUGGAGUGCAGGAGAGGAAGGUAGAAUUCCCGGUGUAGCGGUGAAAUGCGUAGAGAUCGGGAGGAAUACCAGUGGCGAAGGCGGCCUUCUGGACUGACACUGACGCUGAGGUGCGAAAGCGUGGGUAGCAAACAGGAUUAGAUACCCCAGUAGUC
Molecule: ribosomal RNA, 465 nt
Filed under: Vreelandella stevensii
Lineage: Bacteria; Pseudomonadati; Pseudomonadota; Gammaproteobacteria; Oceanospirillales; Halomonadaceae
Description: partial 16S ribosomal RNA
Rfam family: Bacterial small subunit ribosomal RNA
Source: RNAcentral